GAGCCGUGGCUCGACACGGCAGCGAAUUCCUGAUCCGUGGAUUACUGUGGGCUAGCGUCGUCAAUGAGGUAGAGUAAAUGAAGAUGGAUGGUAGGUGCGUCUGGAUAGGUCAUUACUCGGGCGCUCGUCGGUGGCCUUCUAUCGGGGUCCAUAGGCGGAGUCAGUGGCGGAGAUUCUGGGGUUCCUAGGCGGAGUCCUUGGCGGCGAUUCAGGCAUUCCUAAAUCUAUCUGCCGGCGGCCAUGGAGUUCUUCAUGCAGCCGUGCAACAGUAGAACUUUGAUUGAAGAGAUGACAGACAGUGAUUUGCCAAUGCAACCAGCUCAUCACACUGUUCGUUCGCCGGUCACGGACGGAUUAGCAGCCGCUAAUGUUCCAAGUGGGGGGGGGGGGGGGGGGGGGGCAGAUCUGUGCGGAGUCGGCCAUAGCACAGGCAGGAAGUGGAGACAAGCCACAGGCUUCAGAAAACUCAAUCGAUCAGAUUGAUCCGAAGACACCUGAGUGGACACGCAGAAUUGGGACAGAAGUAAAAUUAGUAAACUAGUUGGAAAUGCGAUGGCUCGAUGGUCGUAGCUUGUAUGAACCUAGCAACCAACCAUCAGCUCGCAGGAAUGGUAGUCCGCCACCCGGGGACGACACCGAAUUGUUGGCUGCAGCAGUGCAGGGAUCUUCAACAUCAGCAGCUUCGGCCAUGGGUCUCCAAACAGCGACCCAUGCACUCGGUCCAGUCGACUUUGCGCAGCAAAUUCACAGGCGAUAUCCAAUGCAUCGGAUGUCAUCUCCAUCUUACUGAAGGAGCAGAUUGCAAGGUGCCAACGUGAAAUCAAUACUGCCCGCUUUAAUGUGCAAGCCGAUAUGAUUAAGUUCGUAGACAAACUAAUGGAUGCGAUUAGCAAGAGGUGCAUAUGUUGCACUGCAAGGGGUUUUACCGACUGCCCAGCUAGAGCUGUUGAUCUGAACAUUGGUGCCCAACAUGUCAGCAUGCUCUGCUGGCACCUGCUGGCACCUCAACUGUACGGAGACUCCAUGAGGAAACAACCCCCUGCCAGCAGGAGAAGAGGCAGCGGACCGAUGAAGGUUUGUUGUCUAUAAUUACCGAGCAAAUUUUAUCAUUUGUGAAGCAGACCCUUAAGGCAAUUAGUGAGCUCUUCAUCGACCUCCCAAAUGAUGGGAGCACUACUGUGUUCGGUGCGAGGAAAAAAGAGCUUCCUGGCCGAAAAUAUGUACACAGGCCUGGGUUCCAAAGAGAUCCGUGGACUAGGGGGGUCAUUCCGUAUCCCCCUCAGCCUGCUGUGUCGCAACUUCUAUCUGACUUUUCACCUCCGCGCCUCGCAAACAUCUUACCAGCAACUGCCUUGUUCACGAGCAUCCAAGGUUCAUACGGAUAUCAGGUGUCACCUUGAAAGAACAACUCGCAGGCGAGGCGGCAAUUGACCAUGAGCUCUUGUCAGUUAUCCUACGAUGAUAUUCUCAGGCUGACCAAGCAGCAGAUCAAGAAUCCCCGUAUUUAUCAUGGAGGCACCCACUCGAGCCCGACUUCUCAACUCUUGUGCUGUCAGACUCCGACUAUGUUCACAGUGUGUGCAUUCAGAAGCAACUGGGAGCUGAUGAUAUCAAGUACGACAUCACCUCAUCACAGAUGGUACGAUCACUUCUUCACACCUGUGCGGCGACCCGAAGGUUGGAUGGUACUUUUCUGGGACAUGGUCAGACGGAUGAUGACCGUCAUCGAUCCGAUGUACUCAAAGAAAUUUCCAAAACCUCCCACACAGCUUCGAGACGAAGCAAUAGCUUGGAAUCUAAAUGCUCGGUGUUGGCAAGUGCCACGUCUCCACUCCUCUGGUUCUCCUAAUCUAGCUCUCCGGUGAUUGUAAGCUGCGGCCUGAUGAGGCACUGCAGCCGGAUCUGCAGCAAUCUGGUUGCUCAGCUCAGCCUGGUACUCCUCGCUGGAACGCAUGUAUCCACACAGCCCCUUCUGCAAAAAUUAGAAUGAAUUAAGAGAUGCAGAAAGAUUAGAAAGCAUGAAUCCAGCUGACCAGCAAGAAAUCCACGAAAAAACGAUUUUGUGUAUAAAACUUUCAUCCCUAUUGACACACUUGUAGAAUCGACGACCGCCGUUUACACCGCUCCGAGCAACCCAAGUGUACACCCGGUCCUUGAAGUCCCUGCAGGGCACUAGAGGCAAGAUCUCGUCAUGGCCUGCGGUGGAGGAAGAUGAGGACAUGCCUAAGAAGCGUUGGAGCUAACAAUGGCUGGAAUCAGAAUCUGGUUGGAUCUGGGAGAGAGAUCGGGUGGAUGGGUGGACUUAUGUAGACGAGGAACGUGACGGAGGAGGUUGGUAGGUCCAACGGGUGGAUGCAUUGAAUGUAAUUGACGGCGUUAGCCCAGAAUCUCAGUCGACGCGGCUCAUAACGUGCAGGUAUUCCUGGUCCGCGUCAAGCGUUCCUGACGGCAUAACAAAUGGGCUGGCACACAUGUGGGCCAAUGCGUUAAUAAUUACAACAUAAUCCUGGAUAACAUCUAGGCCCACACUGACAGCAGCGCACAUCGCGAGAUAUUCAUGCGGUACAGAUUCCGGGACUCUGUGAGCUCGGGCUCACAUUAGCACAUUCGUCCUUUUACUCGUUUUUUUGCAGCCGUAUCUUUUUAGGACUCUAAACCCCACUUAUUUCAUCUGGACCGUAGGCUUGAGAUCUGAAGGUUAAAUUUACGUGAUUAAUGAGAAUUAACGUGGAACCUCCGUUGGUGCUUCUGAUUAGUAAAUAUAAGAUAAGAUAUAAGAUAUAAGAUGCUAUGGACAGACUUCAAAAAAAAUCUGGUACGGCGUAGUAGUAUGCGGCUCUUAGUUCUAUUUUUUUAGAACGAAGACGCUAGACGCGUCCGGCUUUAAAUUAAUAAAGCCCGCAGCAUAGUCAGUGUGAAUGUGUGAUAGUGUUGAAGUGUUGGAAUAAACCAAAAGAUCGCUAGUCUCUAGAAGCAUUUCUGCCACUCUGCCACCAAGACAUCAACACCAAUUUUGCCAUGUCUACCAAAGUAUCAAAUAAAAUGGGAGUGGCUUGGCACAUGUGUGUACCGUGAAGAUGAUCAUGAAAGGUAGAGUGUCAUUGCAAGAACCCCCUACCUGAUAUCCACUCAGUCUCUGUGCAGGGAUCCCGGGAUAGGCAACGACUACUAGACAUAGCCAAGUGUGUAUAAUCUA
This is a long non-coding RNA of Triticum aestivum (bread wheat), 3196 nucleotides long. RefSeq lists it as uncharacterized. The record is from RefSeq and is a predicted model, not a curated record. The transcript is spliced from 8 exons. Lineage: Eukaryota; Viridiplantae; Streptophyta; Magnoliopsida; Poales; Poaceae.